This is a long non-coding RNA of Phyllostomus discolor (pale spear-nosed bat), 268 nucleotides long. RefSeq lists it as uncharacterized. The record is from RefSeq and is a predicted model, not a curated record. The transcript is spliced from 2 exons. Lineage: Eukaryota; Metazoa; Chordata; Mammalia; Chiroptera; Phyllostomidae.
CUGUUAAGCUUCUAAUUUUAUCUUAAUUCUUGGAUAGAAGAAUCACAUAGGUACAUAAAUGACUAUAUAUCAUCUCUAUUCAAUAGAACAGAUGACCAAUGAAAGAGGCCUGGUUAUUUAUUCCUUCCAGAGUAAGACUGAAUUCUAUCAAAGAACUUCCAACAUUUGCUUGACUGGAUCUCAGAAUUGUUAUGGACCAGUAACUCCUGUGUGCCUCCUGUUUCCCCCACUUUUAAAAACAGGAGUGUUCUUUAACAGAUGAUUGGAU